UAGGUUAAAACCCUAACUUGAAAAUCCCAAUAAAACUAGUUUAUUAUCAUAAAAAUCAAUGAUUUAUUCAAUAAACAAAUCUGAAAAUUCAUCCUUUAAUAAUUAAAACAACCCUAAUGAAUCACAACACGCAAAUCCUCAAACCACGGUAUUCAUAACCGGUUCCCAGCAUUUUAAUUACUCAAAACAAUAUUAAUAUUAUAAUUUAAAAUACGAAAUUUAAAUAGAAUAGGAAUAGAAGAAGAGAAUUAUACCAAUCCGGCCUAUAGCACGAAACAACCACGAAUUAUAGUGAUUGGGAGAAAAAGAAAUUGAAUUACGAACACGAACAACACACACACACACACGCGUGUGUGCGCGCAGGGGCGAAGGGACGCAGCAGCGCUUGCGCGCGGGAUAGGGCACACGACACGCUGGGGCGCGCGCGCGAGAGGAGGGGCAAGAGAGCGGGGGUGUGCGCUGAGCACACGAGCAACAACAAGGCACAGCAGCAGCGCAGGCACGAGGGCACGCUGCGGGCGAGCGACGAGAGGGAGUGCGGGCGCUGGCGCGCGAGGGGCGAGAGAGGGAGUGUUGGGCGCUGGGCGCGGCAGCACACGAGGGCACAAGGGAGAGCAGCAACGACGCAACAGCACGAGGCUCGUGCUUGCGGGCCGAGUGAGCCGGUCGAACAAAGGGAGAGAGAAAGAGGAGUGUUGGGCAAGAAAGAGAGAAAAGGGUUUAUGACAAAAUAGGGGGUCAUUUAAUGAUGAGGAGUCCUAUUUAUAGGCUCCUUAUUGUAAUGGGCUAGGCUUAGGAAAUUAGAAUUGAGCUAGCUUAGGACUUGAAUUAAAAUCUUUUGAUUGGGCUCGUUUAAUAAAACGAAUUGGACUUUUCAUUUAAAACCCGAAGCCUUUAAAUAUCGUUUGCAACUCAUUUAAUUUCCCGACUCAAGAAUUAAAUUCGUUUCGUAAUUAAUUAAAAUAAUAAAUAUUCUAAUUAAUUAAAAUACAUUAAAUAAAAUACAUUUAAAUAUUAUUUAAAUGAUAAUAAAUCGUAAAAUGCUUUAUAAAUAUAAUAAAAUAUACUUAUAAAUAUUAUAAAAUACUAGGUAUUACAAGUUUGUUCAAUUUAAUUAACUGUAUUUUUAUCAUAAUUGAGUAGGAUUUUUGAACUUGAUAAUUGUGGAACUUUUUCUGGGUUUUGAAUGAUAAUGAAUUCGAACGUAAUAGUACCUAGUGCAGCUGAAAGCAAAGGUGAACCUGUAUUCUUGCUCAUUGACACAUGCCAUGAAGCAACUCCAUCAUGUACUUGUGAGGGUCCAACAACAUUUAUCAAAUCGUCAGGAGGAAUUUGCAUUUGCUUUCCUAUCUUCACAGUUCACAUCAUUGACAGGAUCAAGUAGCUCGCGAUACCAAAUUGCAGAAAGGUUUCCUUUUAUUUACUGAUAAUUCCAACGCUAGUGAGAAGAAACCUUGCUCACGUCAUAGGAGGCUGCACUUAUUGAAUAAUUUUCAUGAUCAGAGUAGAUCUAGAAAGUUCUGUUGUUUCUGUGAUCUCUAUGGAAAGCCUGGAUAAACCCAUUUUUACAGUUCAUUGUCAUUGAAUUAAGUUAUUUACGACUCGCAAACAACGUCCACAUUAUAUCCUUUAUCAUUUGAUAUAGUUGCAGGUUACACGAUAACUAAUAAGAAUCCACAAACACAUUAUUUUAGCAGAGAUGGAAAGAAAUAGUUUGUCAGUCAACCUCAACUUGAUUUUCUUGAGUUAUUGGCAAACUGUUGUACUUUUAUAUGAUCUGAUUGACAUGCGCUGUUGUUAUUUCAACGGUGGAGUUGACAAUAUACCACAUUCUUAACAAGGGACGUUGAAGAAGCUCGAAGCGAAGUCCAGAUGCAAGGUCAUCCAAAGAUUUUGUUGUGUAUACGCGCGUAAAGUGCCACGGUGGUCAUAUUCUUGAGUUAUUGAGAAAGAGAAAGAGAAGUAAGAGAUUGAGAAAGAGAAGUAAGAGAUUGAGAAAUGGGAGGACAAAGAUUGAGAAAUAGUAGAAGAGAACAGAGAUUCAGAAAGAGGAAAAAAAGAAAUGGAAUAAAGUCGUUGGGGUGGGAUCCACAAACGGAGAGAUUUAACGUUUUCUGUUACAAGGUAGUGUUACUAAAACAUAUCAAACUUAUAAGCUAGGAAAAUAUAAAAAAGUUUUUAUAAGGUAGUAAUUCACAAAACGUCCAAACAUUAAGGUAGUGUUUCACAAAAUUUCCUUAUAAUAAUGAGAGAACAAAUAUACCUCUUUUGUGAUCUACAAACGCACCACCACCUUAACUAUCCGAAAGGAUGAAUUAUAAUGACCCAAUAACAAAGGAAAAGGGUUAAGAGAGUAAAGAAUAUAAUGAAAAUUCACGUUGUUGAUCUAAACUAGCUUUUGAGCCCGUUCAUAGUUGUAUAGUGGUUGUUAAGAUGUCUUUUGAAGUUUUAAUUAGUGAUUAAUUAUGAUUUUUGGUAAUAUAUAAAUUAAAUAGAGGUGUAAUUUGAAGGUUGGAAAAAUAUAAAAAUUAUAUGUUGAAUAAAUAUUUGGAUGUUAAAGGGGUGGAGUGGAAGAGACUAAUGAGUAUAUUAGACUAUUAAUAACUUGAUGUUGAAUAAGGAAAAUAGAGUGGAAGAGGCAUUAGAAGUUGUAAAUCAUAGAAACAAUAAAGAAAAAUUGAAAAAAAAAACAAAACAAAAUGAUGGAUGAAAGGAGAGAUGCCACAUGGCUUCUAAUAAUCUAUGGUGUUCCUUUUUAAAUACUAGGUAUAGACUAGGUAUAGAUGGUUUUGAUGAUGACAAGCAAAUUUUACUAAUAAAUGUUUAAGUUUCUAUUCAAAGAAAACCAGGAGUACAUUCCAGAGUAGGAACAAGAGAAGGUCAAAGCAUGCAGACUUGGACAAUCAGAGAAACUGAUCAAGCUGGCAUAAUUAAGUUCCUGAAGCUGCCGAAUUUCUGAGGAACAACAAACAUGCAGAGCAUCAUGGAACAUGAAGACGUGAAAGUUCCUGAAGGGAACACUGCCAAGUUACUGAGGAACAACCAACAUGCGGAGCAACAUGGAACAUGAAGACAUCAAAUAAAAGCUUAUUUUCUAGGAUUCAUGUAAGUAUGUAGUAACCUCAAAAAUUAUGCAACAAGGUACUAAUUAAAAGGAACUUGGAGGAAUUGCACGUGAUCUAAAGUAGUAAAAUAAAGUUUCUCUAAUAAGAUUAAUAUUUUCUAAAGAAAGAUUUUAUAAAAUACAAAUAGAAUUUUAUUGUGAAGAAAAAAAAAGAAAAAAAAAAUUAAGUUUUGGAAAACACACCUUGGAUCCUAUUUUACAAAACGUUACUUUUUCCCCAAGGGUUUUAUUAAGUCACGUUUUUCUAUUUCCGCUCUUUCAAAUGGGAAUUCUGUUGAGAAAAUUCAGGCUCGUCGAACCUUGACUCCCACGUUCUCAUCAACUGAAUAGGUAACGGGAACAUGCCUAGAAUCAUGGCAACAUGAAAGUUAGUUGAGGAGAUUAAGGGGGGAGCUGUUAGGAGUUCCAACACUAUAAAAGAGGAUCUUGUCAUUCAUUGUCAUUCUAGUAGGUCUUGUUGUUUAAGAGGAAAAACGUUUUAAAAGAAAUAUGAUUUGUUUUCCACGUGUUUGAGCUAGUCUAUUAAUUCCAAGUUCCUUGAAGUUCUAAGUUCCUCAUUGUUAUUUCAUAUUCUACAUAUUAGAGGGAUAUCAAUCUUUAGAGUUUGUUUUGAGAGUUGGGAAAGGGUUCGAGUGAACUCUUGUAAAGGGGAAUUGCUCAAGGGUUUGAGUGAAUUCUUGUAUCAAGUUUUGGGUAGUUCUUGAUGUGUAUGGGGUAGGAACUUGAGUGAGUUCUUGUUGUAUUUCGGUAGGCCUUGAGCGAAGUCUAUAAGAGAGAAACAAGGAGGCUUUGAGUAAGAGAAACUUCUAGGGAAGUCAGAGAGAGCGUAGUUGUUUGAGGGAACAACUAUUGGGAACUUGAGUUCGUAGAGUAACUCAAGUAAUGCCUCAAUUCCUUAUAGGUUUGUAACAGAGUUGUUUCCCUAUAGUGAUAUGAGUUUGAAUUGAAAUCCUAGUGGGUCUAAGUUUUCUUUCUAGUUGAUCCUAGAAAGCUUCCUUGUAAGAUCUCUCUUGCAUUGUUUCUAUACUUGCUUUUAAGUUCCUUUAUAAUUCCGCAAAAAUUGGCUAGCAAGUUACAUACUACAACUCCCCCCCCCCCCUUAUUUUAGCGUUCUAUCUGAAUAACACACGUACUCUUCAUAUGAGAUAAUAUUUUUGAGGAACUUUAUGUUUAUUCAAUUAUUAUGCUAUUGUAUUAUCUCAUUUUACUAACCUACUAACAUUAAGCUGCACAAAGUGUUUUCUUUGGGUUUGUUUUACGCGGUAUAUACACUAGUAGAAAAAUCGACAUGUGCUUCCCUUCAAGUGCGGCUCAUUUUAGAAAAUUUGCAGCACUUGAGUUCAAGUGCGGGCUUUAAACUCAAGUGCGGCUCAUUUAAAAAUGAGUAGCACAAAUUUUUUCCAAAAAUAGAGACAGCCCACAAUUGAUUUCCCACAAAAAGAAAGCUGUGAUUUUUUUCAUUUUCCCGCUCCUCGUCCUUCCCCUUCUCUGCUUCUACCGCUGCUUCUUCCACCACCGCUGCUGCUUCUGCCAUCGCCACUUUUGAGAUGAAGAACGUAGUUUCGAGGAUAUUCCAUCUUGAGUCGCCCCCAUCCACCCACACAACCAGAAGCUUUGAGUUGCCCUAAUUUGAACAAAUCCUUCAACGAUUAUGCUUAAUUCAAGUUUCCCCGGUGUGGGAUGCUCUUGAAAUUCUUGAUGCUGCUGAUGUUCACCAGAAGCUUCACCUGAUAUAGUUGAAAUUCACUCGGCCAGAGUUGUUCCAAAGCUUGUAGCUGGAAAACCCGAAGGCUGGAAUAGUGAGUGAUUCCUCUGGUUCUGUCGGUGUAUCUUCUGCUUUUUUUGAAGCUCAAGUAAUCCUUAUCUGUCACAGAUAUGUGAGAGUAAUUGAUGUAACAUUUUCUACCAUGUACGAUAUAAAAGAUGCAUAUGCUUGGCCUGAGAGUGUCAAUGGCCUCGUUCAUAUAGGCUAAUGUGUAGGACUUCUCUAACUGAUUUGCGUGACAAUUUUUCAGCUGAUGCAAAUGGUAUUAAGUUCUAAUCUAAUUGCAGUGAAGCAAUAAAUCAUACAUUGAUCGACGUUUGUAGAGGGAACAAGUAUUUUGGAGUGUAUGACGUUGGAUUAACACACUGUGAAGCCUGCAUAUAAGGAAGUUGCUUCUGACACAGAAACAUAUAUGAAGAUUGAGGGAUUUGUCCAGCAGUUUCACAUUUUCUUGCAAAUCUGCUAUUCUUGUUAUACUGUAGGAAUUGGGUAUAUUGCUUGCUGCCUUGCUGCAGAUGAGGGUCUUGCUCAACUAAGUGGUAUGCGGUCGUGGCUUAGGGUGAGACAACAACACUUGGUUUCUCAAGUUGCAUAUCUUUAUCCAAUAAUUUGCUUCAUCUUUUACUUGAGCUCAUCAAUUUUUGAGUCCCCUUCUCGAGAGAAGGAGAAAUGAUAUUCGGUAUUUUCAUGUCUGGAUUCAUACCAGAUUUAUAGGAUCUGUUUAAUUUUUUCUGGGAAAUCUUAAUGCAAUAAAUACUGAUAAAUGUCUUACUCUAUAUGUAUUUAGGGGUCUUGGUCCAAACAAUUUCUCUUGAUCCCUGCCUUUAGAGAUUGGAAACCAUACAAGAUUGGAACAAUUGUAAGUUUCCAACAUGAUGUAUGAAUAAGACUCUUCAAUCUUCAUGGUAGAAAAGUCUGGAAUUCUUUUAAACUGCAUGAUCUUCAAAAUCUUUCAUGGUAGAAAAGUCUGGAAUUCUUUUAAACUUCAUGAUCUUCAAAAUCUUUUUUUCACUCUCCAAGGCUUGUGGUUCUAAUUAUGGAUCUAUCAGUAAUUUCUGAUUCAUGGUGGAGGCAAUAUGUUUCUGUAUUUGUGCUGUAAUACAAGUUUAUUGAUUUCAAGUUUAAUCCAAUGAUAGUUGAACUGCUUUAAGUGGUCUAUUAUCUGAUAUCUAAUAUAUGUCUGGUUCGUGCGAGGGAGUUAGAUAGAGAUUUGUUACAUUUCACGCACUUGUUUCCAACAGUUGGGAUUAAUGGGUUGGCACAGAUUGCGUGAUAAAAAUUUGCUAAGAAAUAGGUAUUUGGGGUUUUUCAUAUUUAGAUUCAUAUCAGAUUUCUAGGUUCAGCUUAAUUGUGCUGAGAUAUCUUAAUACAAUUCAAUUUAGUUUGAAUACGAUCUUUCUAGUUUGAAUUUAAUAUAUGUCAUGUGUCUUAUGCAGUGAUACUUUAUUAAAUUUAAGAUUCUCAUGUGUCUUGUGCAAUAUAUUGCUGUCUUAUUUCAUUGAGUUACACUUAUUUUAUUUGAUCAGAAUUAAGCACUCAACAUAAUCUAUUUAUUAUAUGUAUUACAUAUAACUACAUAGAUAUAACUAUUCUCUAAUCAAUUACCCAUUAUAGUAUAAAUCUAUAACGAAAACAACUAAUUAGGUAGUUUGGAAGUCUAUAAUAUAAGAGAGAAGAGUAGUGCAUAGUUUCAUAUAGCCUGAUAUAGCCUCAAGCUGUUAGUUUUAACUCUAGCACAAGGGUGUUUGAUGCUCAAUUCUCCAGAGUAGGUUAGGUUCAAGUUGCUGAACCUUAGCAAUUUAGUGGAAACACAAGCUUGCAAGUGUAGCAUAUUGAUCUACUCAUUUUGGUGGCACUUACAAAAUCUUAAUUUCAGGUCAUGCUUGUUCUUUCCACUUAUUGCAGGACAUUGUUCAAAGACUUCUGCCUCGAUGCUAAUACGUCACUUGCCACUUUAAGACUUACCAUGGUUGUUUUACCUUGUUUUUAACUAACAUGAUAAUAGCUUAUCUCAUCUUAUUUUUUGAAAUCGCUUGUCUAAAUAGUACUCUCUAUAUGGCCUUCGGGAUAAGAGUUGUUGCAUUGUGUUACACACUGAUAAUGUUUGUUGUUGCUGCUGAUUUGUUGGUUAUGUUGAUGUUGUCUUACUGUUACUGCUGCUUGUCAUGCUGCUACGCUCCUGCUGUCAUGCUGCUACACUCCUGCUGUCAUGCUGCUACGCUCCUGCUGUCACGCUGUUGCUACGCUGCUGUUGUCGUGUUGCUGUCUUGCUACUGUUGUCCUGUUGCUGUCUUGCUACUGUUCUCCCGCUGACCUGCUGUUGUCUUGCUGCUGUCAUAUUACUGAUAUUGUUGGUCUGCAGACACGGUUGACCUGCUGAUAAAUCUAGAGAAAUCUCUAAGACAUGUUUUUUUUGUGGUUUUUAUUAGUUUUGUGCUUGCGUGUUGUUGCAAGCCUAUGGUAUUUUUUUGGUUAGAGAUUGAAUAAUAGUUGAUAAAUCUUCGAUUCCUAUGAAAUUUGGUGGUUUACUUUUGCUA
Molecule: long non-coding RNA, 7426 nt
Organism: Spinacia oleracea (spinach)
Lineage: Eukaryota; Viridiplantae; Streptophyta; Magnoliopsida; Caryophyllales; Amaranthaceae
Exons: 5
Source: RefSeq, a predicted model, not a curated record